AUACGGAGGAUCCGAGCGUUAUCCGGAUUUAUUGGGUUUAACGGGAGCGUAGGUGGAUUGUUAAGUCAGUUGUGACAGUUUGCGGCUCAACCGUAAAAUUGCAGUUGAAACUGGCAGUCUUGAGUACAGUAGAGGUGGGCGGAAUUCGUGGUGUAGCGGUGAAAUGCUUAGAUAUCACGAAGAACUCCGAUUGCGAAGGCAGCUCACUAGACUGUUACUGACACUGAUGCUCGAAAGUGUGGGUAUCAAACAGGAUUAGAUACCCUGGUAGUCCACACAGUAAACGAUGAAUACUCGCUGUUUGCGAUAUACAGUAAGCGGCCAAGCGAAAGCAUUAAGUAUUCCACCUGGGGAGUACGCCGGCAACGGUGAAACUCAAAGGAAUUGGCGGGG
RNAcentral lists this ribosomal RNA (393 nucleotides) under uncultured bacterium. Its description in RNAcentral is "partial 16S ribosomal RNA". It matches the Rfam family "Bacterial small subunit ribosomal RNA", at positions 523 to 918 of the family's 1533-position model. The record is from RNAcentral.